AGAGUUUGAUCCUGGCUCAGGAUGAACGCUGGCGGCGUGCCUAACACAUGCAAGUCGAACGGGCUACUUCGGUAGCCAGUGGCAAACGGGUGCGUAACACGUAGGUAAUCUACCCAGGAGACGGGGACAACGGAUGGAAACGUCCGCUAAUACCCGAUGACGUCGAGAGACGAAAGGCGCAAGCCACUACUGGAGGAGCCUGCGGCCUAUCAGGUAGUUGGUGGGGUAAGAGCCUACCAAGCCGACGACGGGUAGGGGGUGUGAGAGCAUGACCCCCCACACGGGGACUGAGACACGGCCCCGACUCCUACGGGAGGCAGCAGUGAGGGAUAUUGGGCAAUGGGCGCAAGCCUGACCCAGCGACGCCGCGUGGAGGACGAAGGGCUUCGGCUCGUAAACUCCUUUUCCCGUGGACGAGAAGCGGACGGUACACGGGGAAUAAGUCUCGGCUAACUACGUGCCAGCAGCCGCGGUAAU
RNAcentral lists this ribosomal RNA (477 nucleotides) under uncultured bacterium. RNAcentral's name for it is "bacterial SSU rRNA". It matches the Rfam family "Bacterial small subunit ribosomal RNA", at positions 8 to 524 of the family's 1533-position model. The record is from RNAcentral.